Molecule: RNA transcript, 1454 nt
Organism: Lactuca sativa (garden lettuce)
Lineage: Eukaryota; Viridiplantae; Streptophyta; Magnoliopsida; Asterales; Asteraceae
Gene name: DHHC-type zinc finger family protein
Source: RefSeq, a predicted model, not a curated record
CUGAUAGCCUUCAAACGUUGUGAGUGGUGACAUUAUCUUGACUACCCUUUUACCCUUUUUACCAUUUCCCCUCCACUGGAACUUUGAACAGGAAGAAAGUCGACAAUUCAACCAUUAACGCUGGCUGCGAUUAUCUUUAAACGCUUAUUCCCUCCCAAAACCCGGAGGCACUCUUCCUUUGCUUUCUUCAAUCUCUCUACCUCCGGGAUUCUUCCACGCCGUACCAUGGGUCUGAACGUCUUCAAAUUAUGCUCAGGCCUCAAAUUCCUUGGCUACUUAAUGAUCCUUCUCGUCGCCGCUAUUAUCGUGGUUUCCUACUAUGUUGUUAUAGUCCUCACUUGGGGUCCGCAGCUCUCCCUCGGUGGUUUCAGAUCUUUCUUGUCUUUCACCAUCAUCCUCUUGUUUCACAUCCUGCUUGUGUUGUUAACAUGGAGUUAUAUGAUGGUAGUUUCCCAGGACCCGGGCUCCGUUCCUGAAAACUGGAAACCAGUAGCAUCAGAGGAAAAUCUAGAAUCUGGGGGGUCAGAUCAUAUAGUACCUGAUACUUCAGCAUCAUCAACGCCUUUGGAUGUGCCUGAAACCAGACAAGCACAAGCUUCAGGCUACUGCCGUUACUGUCGAAAUGGGAAGCCACCACGUUGCCAUCAUUGUUCUGUUUGUCAAAGAUGUGUGUUAAAGAUGGACCACCAUUGUGUAUGGGUGGUGAAUUGUGUUGGGGCACACAACUAUAAAUUUUUUCUCUUGUUCCUGCUGUAUACAUUUCUGGAGACGACUAUGGAUACCAUAGUUUUGUUGCCGAAUUUUAUGAAAUUCUUCAAAGAUGCCAAAGAUCACUCAAACUCACCAAGCGAUCUUGCUCUUACUUUUUUGACUUUUGUUUUAAACUUAGCUUUCGCACUGAGCCUUCUCUGUUUCAUAAUAAUUCAUGCAUCUCUUCUUUCAAGCAAUACCACUUCGGUUGAGGUGUAUGAGAAGAAAGGAGGAGUGAGGUGGAAAUAUGACUUGGGACGGAAGAAAAACUUUGAGCAGGUAAAAAGUUAGAUUUAACGGCAGGAGGACCUUUCAUGUAAUUUUGCAAACCACAGGAGCAGUGGCGUGACGUUUUCCUUGAAAGUCUUCAAAGUUUUUGGCACAACAAAGGCACUUUGGCUGUUCCCUCUACUUGCCAAGGAAGAUCGGGAGAAACUUGAUGGCCUCAAUUUUCCAACAUCCCAAUCAUGACGAUGACGCCACUUUAUUUAUUUUUACUUUCUUAAAAAGAAAAAAAGAAAAAGAAAAAAAAAAAAACCCUUAACAAGUAAGUAGAGUUAUCAUGUUAUUACAUAUGAUCUUUGCAAGAUAGUCGGUUAUGGUUGCUUGUUUUCAAUUCGUACUUGUGUUGUAUAAUUUGGCUAGUUUAUGGAGGACGGAGGAGAUACAGAAAUAUCAUGAAUGUAAAGUUGCUUUCUCCAUCA